UGAGGAAUAUUGGUCAAUGGGCGUGAGCCUGAACCAGCCAAGUCGCGUGAGGGAAGACUGCCUUAUGGGUUGUAAACCUCUUUUGUCGGGGAGCAAAGCUGCCACGUGUGGCGGUUUGAGAGUACCCGAAGAAAAAGCAUCGGCUAACUCCGUGCCAGCAGCUGCGGUAAUACGGAGGAUGCGAGCGUUAUCCGGAUUUAUUGGGUUUAAAGGGUGCGUAGGCGGACGAUCAAGUCAGCGGUCAAAUGUCGGGGCUUAACCCCGGCCGUGCCGUUGAAACUGGUUGUCUUGAGUGAGCGAGAGGUAUGCGGAAUGCGUGGUGUAGCGGUGAAAUGCAUAGAUAUCACGCAGAACCCCGAUUGCGAAGGCAGCAUACCGGUGCUCAACUGACGCUGAUGCACGAAAGCGUGGGGAUCAAACAGGAUUAGAUACC
Molecule: ribosomal RNA, 433 nt
Filed under: uncultured bacterium
Lineage: Bacteria
Description: bacterial SSU rRNA
Rfam family: Bacterial small subunit ribosomal RNA
Source: RNAcentral